This is a non-coding RNA of Zootermopsis nevadensis, 576 nucleotides long. The record is from RefSeq and is a predicted model, not a curated record. Lineage: Eukaryota; Metazoa; Arthropoda; Insecta; Blattodea; Termopsidae.
CUUUCUUAAUCUUUCAUUUAGGUCCUUUUUCCAUGACAUCAAAACAGGCGAACCUGAGGGGCAUGGACCGACUGGUGUUUGUAGACUCCCUUGCUGUCAUAAUGGGGCACGAGGAGAGGGAGCCGUGUAUCUUGGAGACAGCGAUCAACAUCCUCGGUUCCAAACAGACGGCAAGCGAACUGUUCGUUAAAUAUCCACUGAAUCAGUGGCAACAGAAGUUGCGUGGGACUGACGUGAUGUGUCAGAUUACGAGAAACAGAAUGAUCCUUCAGAUUCUACUGAGCACCAUGCUGUUUGUCACGUGACCUGCGUACUGCCAGCCAGACAAGCAUUGAAGUACGUGCGGCAACAGUUGGCGGACCGACUUGAUGUCAGAAGAUUAAACCUGCUGGGACAAAGAAGGAACAUCGUAUCCGCAAGAAACUGAUAUCAGUCUGAACGAGGCAUUCGUUGUCUGCAGAGAAGAAGCUUGAUUGAUCCAUGGGACUUUACUGAGGUUGAAGGAUGCGUCACCUGACAUGACUACUGCUUGCCAGGAAAAGAGUGGAGUAUGUGCAGAAACACUAUGGUGGCUCA